AGCAGCCGCGGUAAUUCCAGCUCCAAUAGCGUAUAUUAAAGUUGUUGCAGUUAAAAAGCUCGUAGUUGAAUUUCGGGAUUCGUCGGUUGGUCGGGCUUCACUGUCCGCACUGACCUGACGGGUUCCUACCUUCUGAAUAACCAGCAUGCUAUUAAGUUAGUGCGUUGGGGAAGCAGAGCUAUUACCUUGAAAAAAUUAGAGUGCUUAAAGCAGGCUUGUGCUUGAAUAGAUUAGCAUGGAAUAAUAAAAUAGGACGGCAUGGUUCUAUUUUGUUGGUUUCUAGGAUCACCGUAAUGAUUAAUAGGGAUAGUUGGGGGCAUUAGUAUUCAAUUGUCAGAGGUGAAAUUCUUGGAUUUAUUGAAGACUAACUUCUGCGAAAGCAUUUGCCAAGGAUGUUUUCAUUAAUCAAGAACGAAAGUUAGGGGAUCGAAGACGAUCAGAUACCGUCGUAGUCUUAACCAUAAACUAUGCCGACUAGGGAUCGGACGAUGUUAAUUUUUUAAUGACUCA
Molecule: ribosomal RNA, 510 nt
Filed under: Acaulospora sp. Acau11
Lineage: Eukaryota; Fungi; Glomeromycota; Glomeromycetes; Diversisporales; Acaulosporaceae
Description: SSU rRNA
Rfam family: Eukaryotic small subunit ribosomal RNA
Source: RNAcentral